Molecule: long non-coding RNA, 1039 nt
Organism: Saccostrea cuccullata (small rock oyster)
Lineage: Eukaryota; Metazoa; Mollusca; Bivalvia; Ostreida; Ostreidae
Exons: 7
Source: RefSeq, a predicted model, not a curated record
GAGGCUGUAUCAAGCCAGAACAGAAUACAAACAGAUUUCAUAAACAGUCACGUAAACAGUGUUCUUGCAUAUUUGAAGGAGAUAAUGGACUGCUCCAUACAAGACUGUGAAGAAGUUGAUCAUGCACGUCAUCAUCAAUUCAUAAAAAAUCCUUAUUUGAUGUAAAAGGAGUUUACAAAAAAGUUCUGUUUUGGGGAGAAAUUUAUAAGCUCAGGGGUUAUGGAGCAUCUACAAACAGUGCUGACAGAAAAAGUGUGUGUCAGCAAGCCAGUACCUAGAUCCAUCUUCAAAAGAUACAGUUCAUAUCAACACCUGCAAAAUCAACACCUGGAAAAUAUCCUGAUAGAAAACAUGUUUAUGGGUGUGUAUUACAUGAACCUGGUGUUGAUUAAAGAGGCCAUAGUAUAUCUCAUAUGUAAGAGAAGUGGCCUACCAUAUGAAGCAGCAGAUGAGAGAUGCACUCUCACAGAGCGAUCAGUACAGGAUCAAAUUACUAAAAAAUAUACCUGAAUUCCAUUAUAUUUUAACUCUGAUGACCAAUGAAAUUUUCAUCAUAACAACUACAUCAAUCAUGAUUUCAAUAUAAUAUUAAAAAUCUUAGUAUGUACAUGUAUAGGUGUGUCACAUAAAUUUUUCUUACAAAUUACAAUGCAAAAAAAUUCAAUGUAUCAAAAGCUUAAGUACAGGUGUAUCAAUUAAUAGUGUGCUCAGUAGAAUGUAUUGAUAGCCUAAUACUUUAUAGAUACAAAUGUGUCACAUAUAUUGUACUUGGUAGACUGUAUCAAUAGCCUAGGGUACUGGACCCUUACCUGUCAUGUAGUACUCAAUAGACCAUAUCAAUAGCCUAGGGUACUGGACUCUUACCUGUCCUGUAGUACUCGGUAGACCGUAUCAAUAGCCUAGGGUACUGGACUCUUACCUGUACUGUCGUACUUUGUAGACAGUAUCAAUAUCCUAGGGUAUUGGACUCUAAGCUGUCUUGCAGUACUCGGUAGACCGUAUCAAUAGCGUAAGGUAUGGAUCUCAUACCUGUCCUGUA